GCAACGAGCGCAACCCCUAUUGCUAGUUACCAUCAUUAAGUUGGGGACUCUAGCGAGACUGCCAGUGAUAAACUGGAGGAAGGUGGGGAUGACGUCAAAUCAUCAUGCCCCUUAUGACCUGGGCUACAAACGUGAUACAAUGGCUGGAACAAAGGGAUGCGAAGCAGUGAUGUGGAGCGAAACCCAUAAAACAGUCUCAGUUCGGAUUGAAGUCUGCAACUCGACUUCAUGAAGUUGGAAUCGCUAGUAAUCGUGGAUCAGCAUGCCACGGUGAAUACGUUCCCGGGCCUU
This 291-nucleotide ribosomal RNA is filed under the name uncultured Acholeplasma sp. Its description in RNAcentral is "partial 16S ribosomal RNA". It matches the Rfam family "Bacterial small subunit ribosomal RNA", at positions 1089 to 1382 of the family's 1533-position model. The record is from RNAcentral. Lineage: Bacteria; Bacillati; Mycoplasmatota; Mollicutes; Acholeplasmatales; Acholeplasmataceae.